AGAGGGUUUUAUGUGGGGCAUAUCCAAUUCUGAUGAUUCCGGAGGUGGUUGCAAAAGAAUCGAGAAAGAACCGCUUCCAUCACAUCCGUCUCAUCCGUCGCCAGAGAUCCAGACUACGACGGUUAAAAAGGGAAAAAAGAGAACGAAAAGAAAUGAUAAAAACCAUGAAGAAGAAUCACCUGAUCAUGAAAUACAUAUAUGGACCGAAAGAGAAAGGAGAAAGAAGAUGAGGGACAUGUUUUCUAAAUUACAUGCUUUGCUUCCCC
RNAcentral lists this small RNA (266 nucleotides) under Arabidopsis thaliana (thale cress). RNAcentral describes it as "ATSL050000". The record is from RNAcentral. Lineage: Eukaryota; Viridiplantae; Streptophyta; Magnoliopsida; Brassicales; Brassicaceae.